RNAcentral lists this long non-coding RNA (266 nucleotides) under Arabidopsis lyrata. RNAcentral describes it as "long non-coding RNA (ALYR_LNC000305)". Lineage: Eukaryota; Viridiplantae; Streptophyta; Magnoliopsida; Brassicales; Brassicaceae. The record is from RNAcentral.
GCGCCAUUUGUUGAAAUCUGGCAAGAUCGAACCCGAUCGGGUCUUGAAGCAUCGGAAGACGCUGCCUUCUUUCUCCAUAGCUGCGAAGAAGGAAGAAUUGUAAAAAUUGGAAUUUUAAUAGAGACAAAAAGUUUAAGUAUGUGUAAAUCACCAAACCUGAAAGCGAUUUGACUUGAGGGACAAGAGCAGGCUUCAACCUCGAGGAAGCAUCUCGAGAUUCAGAAUCUCCACUUUUAGGGGAUGCACUCCGAGCAGUCUUUUCGCUG